CCUACGGGAGGCAGCAGUGAGGAAUAUUGGUCAAUGGACGCAAGUCUGAACCAGCCAUGCCGCGUGCAGGAAGACGGCUCUAUGAGUUGUAAACUGCUUUUGUACGAGGGUAAACUCAGAUACGCGUAUCUUUCUGAACGUAUCGUACGAAUAAGGAUCGGCUAACUCCGUGCCAGCAGCCGCGGUAAUACGGAGGAUUCAAGCGUUAUCCGGAUUUAUUGGGUUUAAAGGGUGCGUAGGCGGUCGGAUAAGUUAGAGGUGAAAUCCCGAGGCUCAACUUCGGAAUUGCCGCUGAUACUGUUCGGCUAGAGAGUAGUAGAGGUAGGCGGAAUGUAUGGUGUAGCGGUGAAAUGCUUAGAGAUCAUACAGAACACCGAUUGCGAAGGCAGCUUACCAAGCUACGUCUGACGUUGAGGCACGAAAGCGUGGGGAGCAAACAGGAUUAGAUACCCUUGUAGUC
Molecule: ribosomal RNA, 460 nt
Filed under: uncultured bacterium
Lineage: Bacteria
Description: partial 16S ribosomal RNA
Rfam family: Bacterial small subunit ribosomal RNA
Source: RNAcentral